GAUGAACGCUGGCGGCGUGCCUAAUACAUGCAAGUCGAGCGAACAGACGAGGAGCUUGCUCCUCUGACGUUAGCGGCGGACGGGUGAGUAACACGUGGAUAACCUACCUAUAAGACUGGGAUAACUUCGGGAAACCGGAGCUAAUACCGGAUAAUAUAUUGAACCGCAUGGUUCAAUAGUGAAAGACGGUUUUGCUGUCACUUAUAGAUGGAUCCGCGCCGCAUUAGCUAGUUGGUAAGGUAACGGCUUACCAAGGCAACGAUGCGUAGCCGACCUGAGAGGGUGAUCGGCCACACUGGAACUUAGACACGGUCCAGACUCCUACGGGAGGCAGCAGUAGGGAAUCUUCCGCAAUGGGCGAAAGCCUGACGGAGCAACGCCGCGUGAGUGAUGAAGGUCUUCGGAUCGUAAAACUCUGUUAUUAGUGAAGAACAAAUGUGUAAGUAACUAUGCACGUCUUGACGGUACCUAAUCAGAAAGCCACGGCUAACUACGUG
RNAcentral lists this ribosomal RNA (497 nucleotides) under uncultured bacterium. RNAcentral describes it as "partial 16S ribosomal RNA". It matches the Rfam family "Bacterial small subunit ribosomal RNA", at positions 28 to 507 of the family's 1533-position model. The record is from RNAcentral.